Molecule: small nucleolar RNA, 130 nt
Organism: Paramormyrops kingsleyae
Lineage: Eukaryota; Metazoa; Chordata; Actinopteri; Osteoglossiformes; Mormyridae
Product: small nucleolar RNA SNORA68
Source: RefSeq, a predicted model, not a curated record
GACGCACACAAACCCAAAGGUCAUCACUGAUAUGUGUGAUGGUCCUGCCGUGUGUGCGGAAACCAGGAAGGGUCCCGUCGCCUCCUAUUUGCUGCUGUGCUGAUGGGAGUGAAUUCGGGUCCCGACACAU